GAUGAAGAACGUAGCGAAAUGCGAUAAGUAAUGUGAAUUGCAGAAUUCAGUGAAUCAUCGAAUCUUUGAACGCACAUUGCGCCCCUUGGUAUUCCGAGGGGCAUGCCUGUUCGAGCGUCAUUAUAACCCUCAAGCUCAGCUUGGUGUUGGGGCCUGCUGCACUGGCAGCCCUUAAAAUCAGUGGCGGCGCCAUCUGGCUCUAAGCGUAGUAAUUCUUCUCGCUAUGGAGUCCUGGUGGAUGCUUGCCAUCAACCCCCAAUUUUUCUAUGGUUGACCUCUGAACAGGUAGGGAUACCCGCUGAACUUAAGCAUAUCAAUAAGCGGAGGA
Molecule: unclassified non-coding RNA, 328 nt
Filed under: soil metagenome
Description: partial contains 5.8S ribosomal RNA, internal transcribed spacer 2, and large subunit ribosomal RNA
Rfam family: 5.8S ribosomal RNA (bases 1-120)
Source: RNAcentral